RNAcentral lists this transfer RNA (70 nucleotides) under Marmota monax (woodchuck). Its description in RNAcentral is "tRNA.Ala". It matches the Rfam family "tRNA". Rfam says of the family: Transfer RNA (tRNA) molecules are approximately 80 nucleotides in length. Their secondary structure includes four short double-helical elements and three loops (D, anti-codon, and T loops). Further hydrogen bonds mediate the characteristic L-shaped molecular structure. tRNAs have two regions of fundamental functional importance: the anti-codon, which is responsible for specific mRNA codon recognition, and the 3' end, to which the tRNAs corresponding amino acid is attached (by aminoacyl-tRNA synthetases). tRNAs cope with the degeneracy of the genetic code in two manners: having more than one tRNA (with a specific anti-codon) for a particular amino acid; and 'wobble' base-pairing, i.e. permitting non-standard base-pairing at the 3rd anti-codon position. Lineage: Eukaryota; Metazoa; Chordata; Mammalia; Rodentia; Sciuridae. The record is from RNAcentral.
GUGUUGGAGCUCAGUGGUAGAGCGCAUGCCUAGCAUGCAUGAGGCACUGGGUUUGAUUCUCAGUACCACA